CUUCCUGCAGUCGAGCGAGGCGUCCCGCAAGGGACAGUCGAGCGGCGAACGGGUGAGUAACGCGUGGAUGACCUGCCCUUGAAUGGGGAAUAACCCGGGGAAACUCGGGCUAAUACCGCAUACGACCGAGAGGUGAAAGGGGGCUCGCAAGGGCUCUCGUUCGAGGAGGGGUCCGCGUUCGAUUAGCUAGUUGGUAGGGUAAUGGCCUACCAAGGCGACGAUCGAUAGCCGGCCUGAGAGGGUGAUCGGCCACACUGGAACUGAGACACGGUCCAGACUCCUACGGGAGGCAGCAGUGGGGAAUUUUGCGCAAUGGGCUAACGCCUGACGCAGCAACGCCGCGUGGAGGAUGAAGGUCUUUGGAUUGUAAACUCCUGUCAGCGGGGAAAAAGGGACCUGGCUUAAUACGCCGGGGACUUGAUUGUACCCGCAGAGGAAGCCCCGGCUAACUCUGUGCCAGCAGCCGCGGUAAUACAGAGGGGGCGAGCGUUAUUCGGAAUUAUUGGGCGUAAAGGGCGCGUAGGCGGCUUUUCAAGUGACGGGUGAAAUCCCUCGGCUUAACCGAGGAACUGCCUGUCAGACUGGAAGGCUUGAGACCGGGAGAGGUGAGUGGAAUUCCCAGUGUAGCGGUGAAAUGCGUAGAUAUUGGGAGGAACACCAGUGGCGAAGGCGGCUCACUGGACCGGAACUGACGCUGAGGCGCGAAAGCGUGGGGAGCAAACAGGAUUAGAUACCCUGGUAGUCCACGCCGUAAACGAUGAGUGCUUGGUGUAGCGGGUAUCGACCCCUGCUGUGCCGAAGUCAACACAUUAAGCACUCCGCCUGGGGAGUACGGUCGCCAAGACUGAAAC
This 851-nucleotide ribosomal RNA is filed under the name uncultured bacterium. Its description in RNAcentral is "bacterial SSU rRNA". It matches the Rfam family "Bacterial small subunit ribosomal RNA", at positions 51 to 900 of the family's 1533-position model. The record is from RNAcentral.